RNAcentral lists this ribosomal RNA (253 nucleotides) under uncultured bacterium. RNAcentral describes it as "partial 16S ribosomal RNA". It matches the Rfam family "Bacterial small subunit ribosomal RNA", at positions 524 to 776 of the family's 1533-position model. The record is from RNAcentral.
UACGUAGGGGGCGAGCGUUGUCCGGAUUUAUUGGGCGUAAAGAGCGUGUAGGCGGCCAGGUAGGUCCGUUGUGAAAACUCGAGGCUUAACCUCGAGACGUCGGCGGAAACCCUCUGGCUAGAGUCCGGAAGAGGAGAGUGGAAUUCCUGGUGUAGCGGUGAAAUGCGCAGAUAUCUGGAGGAACACCGGUGGCGAAGGCGGCAUCCUGGACCGGCAUUGACGCUGAGGCGCGAAAGCCAGGGGAGCAAACGGG